GUUCACUACCUGGUAAAUCUUUAUCUUCUAAAACACGUGCCUCGUGCUCAACAGAGUCCUGGUUGCUCUCGCAGAAACCAUUGAGAACCUUCACACAAGCCAAAGGUGCUGAAUGGGAAGUACAUAGAGUCGAUGCACCCAUGACCAUCCACAACUGAUUCGAUGAAGAGGCAGCUGCUAAGCUUGUGGGAAUAAAAGUCUCCCCAGGAAUCGGAACCACUCUUGCAACAUGGAGAGAUUUAGCUGAAAGGUUGCAACUCAAAAGCAUGACGCCUGCCAAGCUCUGAAUAGCCACCGCGAUUAGAGAUCCCCAAGGAGUGGCACAAAGAUCAGUGACAGCCAGCAACCUGUCAUCUAUUCCUUCUUUUGACUGUAAUAGUCCUGUCUCUCCAACAUGACAGGUAUCAAGAAGAGAACCACAAGUGAAGUCCCACAAGCGUACAGUUGAAUCACCACCUCCUGAAAGCAAAUACCACUGCUGGGAAUCCUGGUUGCAGAUGAAGGCAAGGCAGGAAACAAACUCUGAAUGGCCAAGGCAAAAACUUUGAAUCUCAUGAGCCCCAUCUGAUGGCUUUUCUGGGAACACAGAGACUCGGAUUUUGAAGUCCCGAUCGGCACUAAUAAUGUAACGUCCAUCUGGUGAAAACUCCAGACUAGUAAUGAUGCUGCAGUAGUGGGCGAGAAUUGGGACUGCCUUCUUAUUGGGCACACUUUGAUUUUCAUGAGAACCUUCUAUUUCAACUGCAUAAAUUACACCAAAUUUAUCCGCGAAGGAUACAAAACGCCCAUCAUUACUG
This 797-nucleotide unclassified non-coding RNA is filed under the name Hevea brasiliensis (rubber tree). Lineage: Eukaryota; Viridiplantae; Streptophyta; Magnoliopsida; Malpighiales; Euphorbiaceae. The record is from RNAcentral.